AUUGAACGCUGGCGGCAGGCCUAACACAUGCAAGUCGAACGGUAACAGGAAACAGCUUGCUGUUUCGCUGACGAGUGGCGGACGGGUGGGUAAUGUCUGGGAAACUGCCUGAUGGAGGGGGAUAACUACUGGAAACGGUAGCUAAUACCGCAUAACGUCGCAAGACCAAAGAGGGGGACCCUCGGGCCUCUUGCCAUCGGAUGUGCCCAGAUGGGAUUAGCUUGUUGGUGGGGUAACGGCUCACCAAGGCGACGAUCCCUAGCUGGUCUGAGAGGAUGACCAGCCACACUGGAACUGAGACACGGUCCAGACUCCUACGGGAGGCAGCAGUGGGGAAUAUUGCACAAUGGGCGCAAGCCUGAUGCAGCCAUGCCGCGUGUAUGAAGAAGGCCUUCGGGUUGUAAAGUACUUUCAGCGGCGAGGAAGGGAGUAAAGUUAAUACCUUUGCUCAUUGACGUUACCCGCAGAAGAAGCACCGGCUAACUCCGUG
This 490-nucleotide ribosomal RNA is filed under the name uncultured bacterium. RNAcentral's name for it is "partial 16S ribosomal RNA". It matches the Rfam family "Bacterial small subunit ribosomal RNA", at positions 30 to 507 of the family's 1533-position model. The record is from RNAcentral.